GUGCUAAGAUUUUUUUACUUUUUUGGUAUCCUUCUGGGCAUCUGUCCCUGCUGCACGGUACGUUUAUUGAACGUUACUAUAUUGCGACUCACACUUUUAAUCGUAUUAAUUGUUUCUACGCUGAUAAUGAUAAAUAUGCCAUGAAACUCGUUCUCAUUGUUACUGGACAAGGUAUGCUAAAAAUAAAUCGAUAAAACUUGCAUUUACCGCCCUCUACUUAACAACACUAAAACUAUUUAUUGCGGGGGCGGCAACGGCGGCGGCGGCAGCGCCCAGCAACAAGCGUGGGCGACGUUGGGGAGGGCGGCGCGCGCAGCAAAUAUACCUAGGUCUAGAUACGGAACCGUCUAGAAUAAUCUAGCCACCCCAGACUCCCGAUCAAUAUCUGUAAUGACAUGCGCUAACAGCAUCUAGGUCCAGACAGACGCCAUCCAAUAUCCAGUCUCAGCAGCGCCGGUCACAGAACAAGUCGUUAUUUUUGUAACUGAAUUAAUAUUUGAAUAACUAUAUUGGUGUAAUUUUGAUAAUGGUUCUGAAAACUGACUAAGUACAGCUGUUAGUAAGAACCUAUUGCAAUAGACCGGCGUGCUAGACUUGUUUGAACGGUUUUGUCCCGGGCACAGGAAUUGUGCAGGGCUUUUCAAUUAGCUACUCAUUACCUAUUAGACUUUUUCACCGAGUGUUUGUAAGCGUGAAAUAAAGAAGCAUCAAGACCAACGGACGGUGCGCAGGCAACAGGAAGAAAAGAUACCAGUCACUCUCAUCGUUGAAAAUACACCAUCAAUUCGCCGUCGUGCUCAGCUGGCAGCAAGCCACGCCCCUGCAGCCUGUCUUCAGCAUCCCUCAUACAACCACUACGGCCUAUCUGAUGUAUACCGAGCGAGGCAGGGGGCGAAUGAGGGAAGAAACUACAAUACCGGUCGGUGUCGAGUUGGAGGCAGGUGAAGAGAUCACAUGAUGCAACCGCCGCUUUCGGUAGAUGAAACACCUUACUACUCAUGGAUCGGAGGAGGAAAAACGUGAGGAAACCUGACAGGCUACAGGAUCGAGGGAGUCUACAUCCAUAUAUUAUACU
Non-coding RNA from Plutella xylostella (diamondback moth), 1075 nucleotides. The record is from RefSeq and is a predicted model, not a curated record. Lineage: Eukaryota; Metazoa; Arthropoda; Insecta; Lepidoptera; Plutellidae.